CAAAAAUUCAACUCAAAAUGGAUUAAAAACUUAAAUGGAAGACCUGAAACUGUAAAACUCUUAGAAGAAAACAUAGAGGAAAAUCUUUAUGACAUUAGUCUUGACAAUGAUUUCUUGGAUAUGACAUUAAAAGCACAAGCAACAGGGGCCAGCCUGGUGGUAUAGCAGAUAUAUUUCAUCUUCAGAGAGAUUCUUGGAAAAGAUUCUGACACUUGCCCUAUAACACAGGACACAAAUGGAAACAUUAGUUAUAUUACCAAUGCUUUGACUGGAAUGUCAUAUUUAAGAGAAACACACAUGGACUCAGAUAUGACCAAACAGCUUUUAGGAACAAAAGUUCACUUUUUGAAAUAAAAUCACUAGGAAAUAUUGACCUGUUACCAUGCUUGCAGUGUCACUAGCAAUCAUACCAGAAAUGCUUCUUAUUAAAUAACAGGUUGCAUGCUUAUACAAUAUAACCCUAACUUUGGAAUCCCACCUGCAUCAUCACCUUACUAAGAGACUGGUUCAAUGAGAUGGAACAACCUACACCCCUUAUCAGCAGGAAUAAGAUAGAGC
RNAcentral lists this long non-coding RNA (558 nucleotides) under Equus caballus (horse). RNAcentral describes it as "lncRNA (ENSECAG00000060241.1)". Lineage: Eukaryota; Metazoa; Chordata; Mammalia; Perissodactyla; Equidae. The record is from RNAcentral.